UUUUAUGUAUACUUCUUAAUAUUUGUCCGACCGUAUGAGUAUUUUGAAAAAGUACGCAUACGGCCCAAACUACAAUUGCAACUGUACAGGUUUUUUUUUAUGUUUUUAAUAAGUUGUGCUGUUACACCAGUGUCCCAGGUUAAGGAGAGGGUUGGGGGCUCACAUGAUUAAUCCCGCCGCAUUUUUUUCGUGUCGGUCCUACGUCAUGGGCCUGUAUAACAUAGAUUAUAUAGAUCUGUCAUAUUUUUUUCUUCUUUGAUAAAUAAUCCAUAAGUUAUAAAUAAAUAACCGUUAGUUUUCUCGUUUUUAUUUUUUUCACAUUUUUUUUUAUAUUGGUGUCUUUUAUAGCCGACUAUAUGGUAUAGGUUUUCCUCAUUGUUAAUUGUUGUACAUUGGACUAUAAUAAUUGCUUUAUUCACACACUUCAUUUAAACUUUGGUGGGAAGUUGUAUCACUGGCUAUCACAC
Molecule: long non-coding RNA, 467 nt
Filed under: Mytilus galloprovincialis (Mediterranean mussel)
Lineage: Eukaryota; Metazoa; Mollusca; Bivalvia; Mytilida; Mytilidae
Source: RNAcentral